RNAcentral lists this ribosomal RNA (406 nucleotides) under uncultured bacterium. RNAcentral's name for it is "partial 16S ribosomal RNA". It matches the Rfam family "Bacterial small subunit ribosomal RNA", at positions 30 to 526 of the family's 1533-position model. The record is from RNAcentral.
AUUGAACGCUGGCGGCAGGCCUAACACAUGCAAGUCGAACGAGUGGCGGACGGGUGAGUAAUGUCUGGGAAACUGCCUGCUGGAGGGGGAUAACUAUUGGAAACGGUAGCUAAUACCGCAUACUAUCGGAUGUGCCCCGAUGGGAUUAGCUUGUUGGUGGGGUAACGGCUGACCAAGGCGACGAUCCCUAGCUGGUCUGAGAGGAUGACCAGCCACACGGGAACUGAGACACGUUCCAGACUCCUACGGGAGGCAGCAGUGGGGAAUAUUGCACAAUGGGCGCAAUCCUGAUGCAGCCAUGCCGCGUGUAUGAAGAAGGCCGUCGGGUUGUAAAGUACUUUCAGCGGGGAGGCGUUACCCGCAGAAGAAGCACCGGCUAACUCCGUGCCAGCAGCCGCGGUAAUUC